UCAUAUAUAUCCACUAUUCCUAGUGCAAUAUUACCCAAAGCAUCUCUUCUCUCCCUGUACACAGGACCAAAAGUGCAGGCACAUCAUUUAUUGAUAAGACAAAAAGAAUGUAAUGAAAUUAUCAAUGUUCUUGAAUUAAUUAUGAACAUGAUUAAGAAAGCUAAAAUCUCAGGAGCCAGGAUCUCAUUACCCAUUCAGUCUUAGGGAUUGCUUUCAUUCAGCUAAGCAAAAAGGCUUUGAGCAGUCCCACAAUUGCCUUUCUCUCAUUUAUUUGUGCUAGAAUUAAGGUUUAUUUGUUUUCUGUUUUCUCCUUCUUCAGAGAUUAUUUCUCUUAGUUUAUCCAUUUAACAAAUUGUUUCUUCCUGUAUCAUAGAAGAAUGCCCCUGUAGGGCCUCCAUCACUGUCUUCUGGCUACAGACCUCCUCCUUUUGAGGGCAUUUUCUCUCCACUCAUUUUGCUGGGAGCUCCUAAAUAUCUCUCAAGGUUCAAGAACUCCCCAGAAACUUGGCAUUGUCAAGGAAAUCCACUGUCUUUUGUCCUGGAGGCUGGGUCAUGUGGCUUCAUCCUCUGCUGGGGCCACAUCAUUGAAAGAUUCCACCAUUGCCACCAGGUAGAUUGAGUGGAUGAAAAGCAUAUCUAUGUGGAUGAGAGAGAAUGCAUGCAACUUAAAUUUGGUUCUACCCCCAUCUUUCUAAGGAUCCAAUUAACAAAUCCCAAGGUAUGGGAAGAGUGGAUUGGUGGAGUGGAUAGAUGAGAGAGGCUCUGUACAAUCUCAUCUCACAAUUCAGGUUUGUUGGCCUGAUUUUCUUUAUGGAUCUAGGACAAAAGGAUGUCCCUGAUUCAAAAUAACCUGAACCAAAUACUCGACCUUCCCUAGUAUGUAGGCAUAAAUCCUUGGUUCAUUUUGCCCAUUUCCUCUGGGAAACCCAGAUUAUAGCCAUUGUCUCAGAGAUGUGAGUAAAAGGAUCCAUGUAAAAAGUUGCCAUCAUGCAUUUCAGGUACACUCAUCCUCCAUGAGGUAUAUACAAAUGGAUUAAUGGAUCAGUAAGAAUCCAUUCCUAGAAAAUGUCAUUAAUAUUCCCAAUAAAGUGAUUCAUG
This 1098-nucleotide long non-coding RNA is filed under the name Monodelphis domestica (gray short-tailed opossum). RNAcentral describes it as "lncRNA (ENSMODG00000048083.1)". The record is from RNAcentral. Lineage: Eukaryota; Metazoa; Chordata; Mammalia; Didelphimorphia; Didelphidae.